GAUGAACGCUAGCGGCAGGCCUAAUACAUGCAAGUCGAGGGGCAGUUCUGCUUUCGGGCAGAAGCGACCGGCGCACGGGUGCGUAACGCGUAUGCAACCUACCCACAACUGGGGGAUAGCCCGGAGAAAUCCGGAUUAAUACCCCAUAAUGCAGGGGUACCGCAUGGUACUAUUAGCUAAAGAUUUAUUGGUUGUGGAUGGGCAUGCGUCUGAUUAGUUAGUUGGUGAGGUAACGGCUCACCAAGGCAACGAUCAGUAGGGGGUCUGAGAGGAUGAUCCCCCACACUGGUACUGAGAUACGGACCAGACUCCUACGGGAGGCAGCAGUAGGGAAUAUUGGUCAAUGGGCGCAAGCCUGAACCAGCCAUGCCGCGUGCAGGAUGACGGCCUUCUGGGUUGUAAACUGCUUUUUUUACC
Molecule: ribosomal RNA, 417 nt
Filed under: uncultured bacterium
Lineage: Bacteria
Description: bacterial SSU rRNA
Rfam family: Bacterial small subunit ribosomal RNA
Source: RNAcentral